GCCCAGUAGUAUUUUUAUGGCUGUUUUUAAAAAUUAACUUUUAGUUACUCCAAUGACAUAACUAAUCCAUUCUCUUUGCAGAAAUGGAAACACCGCAGAUGGAGCUGGACUAGCUGUAACCUGUCCCCAGAGGUCACAGCUGCUGUUCUGUCGUCGUGUGUCCUUCCAGACCUGGCCCCUGCGUUCACGGGAACACGGUGUCUUCAGAAAACACGCAGUCUAAACACUUGAGCAACCAGUUUGUGAGCCUGAGGCAACGUCAAGGACAGAAUCACACAGUAAGGAUGGUGGAGCAAAAAGAAGCCUGAGGCCUUGAU
Molecule: long non-coding RNA, 317 nt
Filed under: Equus asinus (donkey)
Lineage: Eukaryota; Metazoa; Chordata; Mammalia; Perissodactyla; Equidae
Description: lncRNA (ENSEASG00005038146.1)
Source: RNAcentral